Xyrichtys novacula (pearly razorfish) is the source of this 560-nucleotide non-coding RNA. The record is from the annotation of a GenBank genome assembly. NCBI's taxonomy places the organism in Eukaryota, Metazoa, Chordata, Actinopteri, Labriformes, Labridae.
AUCUACCUGAAAAACUGCCAUAGGGGAGAGCGGGGUAAGAUGAGACAUUUUUCAUAUUUCGGAUCACUACAUCAAGGCAAUCAUAGUUUUGUCCGUAACUAGCGUAUCUGCAUGUAUUUCAAGAUGUUGUGCAUCUGGCAGUCUGGAGGAAGACUGGGACUUCCUGUCCCCUAAGAAAAUCAAGGAUCCUGAAGCCAAGAAGCCAGAGGACUGGGAUGAUCGUGCAAAGAUUGACGAAUGUAAGCAUGUUUUACACUUUUGGACAUUAUUUCAAAAUUGGUUGUUUAUCUAAACAAAUCAUUUUGCCCCCAUUAAACUCGAUGUCAAUCAAGAUUGGACUACAGUUGAAGGAAAAGAACUUGGACUUCAUGGUGAACAUUUUAAUUACACUUGGAAUUCACAGAUUUUAGUACCUCAAGAUGAAACCCCACUUCAAUGGAUGGAUAAACGAACUUAGAAUAAACAAAAAAUUUUUGAACUACAUGAAAAACAAAAACGCCCUAAAACUGUUUUCUUUACUCGGACAAGGGGAGACCAAUCCUUCCAGGCUGUUAUCCCCA